This 497-nucleotide ribosomal RNA is filed under the name uncultured bacterium. RNAcentral describes it as "partial 16S ribosomal RNA". It matches the Rfam family "Bacterial small subunit ribosomal RNA", at positions 28 to 507 of the family's 1533-position model. The record is from RNAcentral.
GACGAACGCUGGCGGCAUGCCUAACACAUGCAAGUCGAACGGAGAUUACUUCGGUAAUCUUAGUGGCGAACGGGUGAGGAAGGCGUGGGCAACCUGCUCUCUAGAUGGGGACAACAUCCCGACAGGGGAGCUAAUACCGAAUGUGACAGCAAUCUCGCAUGAGGAUGCAGUAAAAGAUGGCCUCUAUUUAUAAGCUAUCGCUAGAGGAUGACCAUGGGUCUGAUUAGCUAGUGGGUGGGGUAACGGCCUACCAAGGCGAUGAUGCGUAGCCGGUCUGAGAGGAUGAUCGGCCACACUGGUACUGAGACACGGUCCAGACUCCUACGGGAGGCAGCAGUGGGGAAUAUUACGCAAUGGGCGAAAGCCUGAUCAAGCCAUGCCGCGUGAGUGAAGAAGGAAUUCGGACUGUAAAGCUCUUUUGUUUUUGAGGAAGGGCAGUAUUUUAAAACCUAACCGUUAUGACGGUACCAAAAGAAUAAGCCCAGGCUAAAUUCGUG